This is a long non-coding RNA of Protopterus annectens (West African lungfish), 573 nucleotides long. RefSeq lists it as uncharacterized. Lineage: Eukaryota; Metazoa; Chordata; Ceratodontiformes; Protopteridae. The transcript has 3 exons. The record is from RefSeq and is a predicted model, not a curated record.
UGCUCCUUGUUUCUUUUCAGACCACAGAGCUGCGUUGCUCUUAAUCUUUAUUUUUCAGAUAGGGAAAAGUGAGGUACAUAUCCGGAAGUGAGCAGCAAACUGCACACAAUGCACACACGCUAAGAACAAUUUAGAGUUGCCAAUAAACCUACUGCAUGUCUUUGGACCCAGAGUACCUUGAAAAAACACAGGAACACUGGAAGGACAUGAGGACACCCUACAGAAGGCACUUCAUCUGAGAAAUGAACCAGGGAACCUAUUGCUCACAGUGAGUGGAAUAGUGGACAAUGGAUGACCUAGGACUCAAGCCUGCUUUUUUGUACCUGGAGCCUGAGCACAGGACUGAAAUGAACAGAACUGGAAGAACUUUAAGAAGACCAACUGGACAAGGCAGGAGUAAAGGUCUGAGAGUAUCUGAGACGAUGAAAAAAAUGAAUGAGGCCAAAAACAUAGUGACUGAUUUUAAAUAGUGCUCUUCUAACUGAGAAAAGUACUAGAGUAACAGAUCUGGAUAGGUUUUGUGUUAGCAUGCAUUUUCUGGAGGAGGAGGUCUGAAACUGUAAUAUCUGUCAU